UGAGCAGGGUCUCUAGAUUAUGCGUA
RNAcentral lists this non-coding RNA (26 nucleotides) under Rattus norvegicus (Norway rat). Lineage: Eukaryota; Metazoa; Chordata; Mammalia; Rodentia; Muridae. The record is from RNAcentral.